This 301-nucleotide ribosomal RNA is filed under the name uncultured bacterium. RNAcentral's name for it is "partial 16S ribosomal RNA". It matches the Rfam family "Bacterial small subunit ribosomal RNA", at positions 509 to 809 of the family's 1533-position model. The record is from RNAcentral.
CAGCAGCCACGGUAAUACGUAGGGUGCGAGCGUUAAUCGGAUUUACUGGGCGUAAAGCGUGCGCAGGCGGUGAUGUAAGACCGAUGUGAAAUCCCCGGGCUCAACCUGGGAACUGCAUUGGUGACUGCAUCGCUGGAGUAUGGCAGAGGGGGGUGGAAUUCCACGUGUAGCAGUGAAAUGCGUAGAGAUGUGGAUGAACACCGAUGGCGAAGGCAGCCCCCUGGGCCAAUACUGACGCUCAUGCGCGAAAGCGUGGGGAGCAAACAGGAUUAGAGACCCGCGUAGUCCCUGUCUCUUAUAA